UACGAAGGGGGCUAGCGUUGCUCGGAAUCACUGGGCGUAAAGGGUGCGUAGGCGGGUCUUUAAGUCAGGGGUGAAAUCCUGGAGCUCAACUCCAGAACUGCCUUUGAUACUGAAGAUCUUGAGUUCGGGAGAGGUGAGUGGAACUGCGAGUGUAGAGAUGAAAUUCGUAGAUAUUCGCAAGGACACCAGUGGCGAAGGCGGCUCACUGGCCCGAUACUGACGCUGAUGCACGAAAGCGUGGGGAGCAAACAGG
RNAcentral lists this ribosomal RNA (253 nucleotides) under uncultured bacterium. Its description in RNAcentral is "partial 16S ribosomal RNA". It matches the Rfam family "Bacterial small subunit ribosomal RNA", at positions 524 to 776 of the family's 1533-position model. The record is from RNAcentral.